GGCAAUGGGUCAGGGCUGGCAGAUAACAGACAUAAAUCCAAAACAGAGCAAAGGGUCCAAGGGGCAGGCGGCGGAGUAUCGUAAACAAGGAACAGACAGGAUCAGAAACAGGCAGACAAACAAGAAUCAAGAACGUUCAGAAUUGUAACAGAAGUUAACAAGACCUCGCAAACUUGAUGAUGAUAAAGCAGGACCAUCCAUGGCAUCUGAGGGGUCUGUGAAUAUAAAACUACGAGGAAUCCAUCAAGCUCUCAAAGGAGAUUAUGUGAACUCUGGCUUCCACAAAGGUCAUCUGGCACCAGUCUAUCAGGCACAAUCACAGGACUGUGCUGAUGCCACCUUCACUCUCACUAAUGCUGCUCCACAAAACUCCUCUUUUAACAGCGGUCAAUGGAGGGUACUAGAAGAAAACAUGGCAAAAAAUCGAACAGGGCAAUGUCUACAAAAGUAUUCUGUUUACAUUGUAACAGGGGUGGUUCUAGGUACAAGUAAAUUGAAAAACAGAGUUAAUGUGCCUAGUCAUUUCUGGACUGCAUACUGCUGCUUAGACCAGAAUAACAAAUGUCAAAUCUCAAGAGGAUUUAUUGGAGUGAAUGAGAACAUCACUCCCCAGAACUUAAAUGUGAAUGUUUUAGAGAAAGAGUUGGCAAAUCUUUAUAAAGUCACAUCUUUUGAGAUGUUUGAUAGCUCUACAGUACCCCCAAUGAAACAAAAAAGUAAAGCUUUCAAAAUAAAUGUAUCCUGUGGUCAAUUUUGGUUUAGUUUUCUCUGUGUUUUGUUCCUAUUUUACCUGCCAAGUUAGUUUCCUUGGUUAUUAAGCUCCUCACCAGUAAUGUUUCAGUCAGACAGGGGUGCCCUGAAUUUAGUGAUUCAGGAAUUUUUAUUUCUUAUGCAUGAUAUUUUUAUUUCUUAUGCAUCUGUUGUGAUUAUUUUAUAACUAUUUUAAAUCCUUUUCUAAGUAAAGCACGUUGAAUUACCAUUGUGUAUGAAAUGUGCUAUAUAAAUAAACUUGACUUGCCUUGCCAAUCAU
This is a long non-coding RNA of Megalobrama amblycephala (Wuchang bream), 1030 nucleotides long. RefSeq lists it as uncharacterized. The record is from RefSeq and is a predicted model, not a curated record. NCBI's taxonomy places the organism in Eukaryota, Metazoa, Chordata, Actinopteri, Cypriniformes, Xenocyprididae. The transcript has 2 exons.